UCCCGUGUGGCUCAGUUGGUAGAGCAUGGUGUUUGCAACGCCAGGGUUGUGGGUUCGAUUCCCAAAGGGAC
RNAcentral lists this transfer RNA (71 nucleotides) under Salmo salar (Atlantic salmon). It matches the Rfam family "tRNA". Rfam says of the family: Transfer RNA (tRNA) molecules are approximately 80 nucleotides in length. The record is from Rfam by way of RNAcentral. Lineage: Eukaryota; Metazoa; Chordata; Actinopteri; Salmoniformes; Salmonidae.